CACUGCAGGGUUUGGGAGGACGGUCAGUCAAACCUCUGAGAAAAUCAGUCCUUUUCAAUACCCACAACAGGCAGUCCCCUGGGAUUUCCAAGGUCCCUACUCUCCCAUCUCCCUGAUUCCAAGUGAUUGCCAGAACCCUCUCACUUCUUGAUGCUGUUGGUAAUGAGCAGGUGGGCAUCGUGCCUCUCAUCCAAUAGAAGCAUGGCCCCCAGGUAGCCCACCCUCUUGUCUGUGAAUCUGGAGGAGGCGAUCAGUUUCAGGCACUCCAUCUAUAGUCAAGGGGGCAAACCAGGAAGAGGCAGGGGUGAAACCAUAGACACUCACAUCCCUGUUCCAUCUUCCUCUUUAAAACCAGAUUAACCUGUGGGGCAUCCUAUCUCAUCACUCUCCCUUCAACAAGAGGAGAAGCUUAGGAAAUUCAGGCGUUAGUGGGUAGGAGGAACUAGGAGUUGAGGAGGAUGGGAGAGGAAAGGAGGAGGUGCCUGGCCUAAACGAGGCUGGCCAGAGAAUGAAGGGUUCAGGCCAGCUGAUGACCAAUAGGGGUAGCAAUGGGGAAAGAGGUUUGCAGUGCAGCCUGUGAGGACUCUGAAAUUGUAGAAUUUGAAAAACCAGGGCAUAAACAGGUGAGAGAGUCCGUGACUCUGCCCCACUAGCCUUCAUCAAGCUCAGGAGGGAGGUAUUCCUGGCCAGUACCUGUCCAAAGUGGGCGGGGUAGCCCAACAUGUGGACGUAGAGCAGUUUGGCCAGCUGCCGGUGCCUGUGCACAGGGUCCCCAUCGCGGAAGGAGGCCCGGAUGUGGGCGCACUCCUUUUGGAUCACCUCCCGCUCCUGGGCCUGAGUCUUGGCCCCGCGAAUCUCUUCGAUGAGGUCCUGAAGCUUCAGCGAAGGCGCCACCAUUCUGACUGGCAGAGUCCGGGAGUGAAGAAACACUCUCUGGCCGGGCGUGCCUGGGUUUUCGGCCCAGGCGCGUCCUGUGUCAAGACCCUAAGAGCCCGGGUCCCACAGCGCUUCCUGGUACGGGGCCGAGCAGGGGUUGGUGAUCCGUGCGGUCCUUCCCUCUCCCCGCCUCCACCACGGGACCCCGCCCUCCUGGGCCGAUGCAGAGCCUUCCUGAAUCCUCUGACCUCGAGCCUCAGGCUUUAGCGGACAGACAGCAUGAUAGGCCUGGAGUUCUUCAAGAGGCCUCCUCGCACAUCCUCACCACCCGGAGAGCCUCAGUUUGGAUUUGAAGCCAUCGCACCCCAAAGGAGAUGACAAUCCCCCCCCUUUUUUGAACUUUUUUAUUAAUAUAUUUUUUUUUUU
Piliocolobus tephrosceles (Ugandan red Colobus) is the source of this 1302-nucleotide long non-coding RNA. RefSeq lists it as uncharacterized. Lineage: Eukaryota; Metazoa; Chordata; Mammalia; Primates; Cercopithecidae. The record is from RefSeq and is a predicted model, not a curated record. The transcript is spliced from 2 exons.